Molecule: ribosomal RNA, 199 nt
Filed under: uncultured soil bacterium
Lineage: Bacteria
Description: partial 16S ribosomal RNA
Rfam family: Bacterial small subunit ribosomal RNA
Source: RNAcentral
CAGAACGAACGCUGGCGGCAUGCCUAAUACAUGCAAGUCGAACGAACACUUCGGUGUUAGUGGCGCACGGGUGCGUAACGCGUGGGAAUCUGCCCUUGGGUUCGGAAUAACAGUUGGAAACGACUGCUAAUACCGGAUGAUAUCGAAAGAUCGAAGAUUUAUCGCCCAGGGAUGAGCCCGCGUAGGAUUAGCUAGUUGG